UCGGGAAUUUUGGGCAAUGGGCGAAAGCCUGACCCAGCAACGCCGCGUGAAGGAUGAAGUAUUUCGGUAUGUAAACUUCGAAAGAAUGGGAAGAAUAAAUGACGGUACCAUUUAUAAGGUCCGGCUAACUACGUGCCAGCAGCCGCGGUAAUACGUAGGGACCAAGCGUUGUUCGGAUUUACUGGGCGUAAAGGGCGCGUAGGCGGCCUAACAAGUCACUUGUGAAAUCUCCGGGCUUAACUCGGAACUGCCAAGUGAAACUGUCAGGCUAGAGUGCAGAAGGGGCAAUCGGAAUUCUUGGUGUAGCGGUGAAAUGCGUAGAUAUCAAGAGGAACACCUGAGGUGAAGACGGGUUGCUGGGCUGACACUGACGCUGAGGCGCGAAAGCCAGGGGAGCAAACGGGAUUAGAUACCCCUGUAGUCC
RNAcentral lists this ribosomal RNA (424 nucleotides) under uncultured bacterium. RNAcentral describes it as "bacterial SSU rRNA". It matches the Rfam family "Bacterial small subunit ribosomal RNA", at positions 355 to 796 of the family's 1533-position model. The record is from RNAcentral.